Non-coding RNA from Coturnix japonica (Japanese quail), 6231 nucleotides. Lineage: Eukaryota; Metazoa; Chordata; Aves; Galliformes; Phasianidae. The record is from RefSeq and is a predicted model, not a curated record.
CCAACCUGGCCUUGAACACCUCCAGGGAUGGACGGGGCAUCCACAGCCUCUCUGGGCAGCUGUGCCAGCACAAGUCCUUCAGAACAACCAUCACCUCCCUGGUGGCUGGAGCCCAACCAGACCACAAGGAUUCACUGAGACUUACGGUACCUCCGAGAGACAAAGGUCAGGAAAUGGGCUCCUUGCCACUCUACGGCCAUGAUCCAGGUUUUCUGAGACUGAGUACAUUCAUCUGAGCUGUUAGCUGCUACGCUCCACCGCAUCCCUGUAUGAUCUGCCUAGGCUUGGUCCCCCAGAGGAAAUUUCUGCAUGCAUACUGUAUAUGAACUUUAGAUAAAUAAAUAAACACGAGAAACAGCUUCCAGAUAAUUGAAAGCGAGUGAAGGAGGGAGCAAAAAGAAAACAAUUUCUCAGGGGAGAAGCAAGCUGAGGUGGCAGGUGCAGCCUAAAUUCAGCCAAGGCAUUUUGGUUGUUCAGUACCUUCACGUAAUUAAUUAUUGAAGCACGCUUAGCUGUGGUAUCAACAUCUGUAUGGUACAAAUACUUCUUUAGCCCAGCUGGACUCAGCUGCAUUAUCUGCGACCUGAAGAGCACACGCUCACCUUGGUUAAAUGGGGCUCGACUCAGCAAUAUUCAGCAGAGCUGCGGUGGCUCCUGGCUCCGGCCACCAAGGCUCCACAGGAUUUUCACUGCUCAGGUGUUGCAAAGCCUAAUCCUUAUUCAGGAACCAAAACGCUCCCCUCUCCUUGCCUGCGGUGCUUGGAUGCCUGCCUUUGGCAGUAGCCCCAGACUCCUGCAGAAGAUGAAGACAUCCCUCCAUGCCUAUAGAUGGAAGAGCGCCAACAUGGAUGCCAUCAGAAGGACGCAGCUGAGCAUAUGCUGAGAAAAUUGUGGCAUCCAUACUGUACAUGGGGAAGGGCUGACUGAACACACCAGUUUGUUGAAGCUUAUGGCCCUGAAAAGGAAACAUAGGUUUCCUGUAAAUGUCAUUCAGGGAUAUGCUAACUGUUAUUUCCUGGCACUGGAUCAUGAUGCUUUCAACACAUUCUGUUCCUCUACCUCUGCUGCUACCUCUGCUGCCUGCCUGCCUGGCUGUGUGCAGUGAUAGCUCUCCUGUCUUCUCACCUUUCCUCCUCCCUGCGCCAGGCAAAGGUAUUGUGGUUGGGAGGGCCAAUGUCAGCGAACGAGAUGACGGACGGAGAGACGAAAUCUCAACCCUAUACUCAGCCUGGCUGCUGCCUGUACAUGGGCCUUGCUGCACCAUCCCUCGUAUGCAAAGCAAUUCAAGGAAAAAAGAGUAACUUCUGUUCCAUUAGAAAUCACAUAUUUCUGACCCAGAAAAAGAGGAAUCAUAGUCUCUCAGGACGUUUGCUGAAGGGAGGAUUUCUGGAGCCUGAACCAGAGGAGCCCAGGAGAUGUUGGUGUGAAGGCGCACUGCAAGCACCUGCUGCUCAUGGAGGAGUUCCUGUGGCAAUGCGUGUGCUCAGGAUGAAUAGGCUGGUCGUCACACAAGGAACUGCAUGCAGAAUCCAUCAGCUCCUUGCCAUGUUGCUCUUUGAGAUCACCUCCCAGAGAUGAUGAAGAUGUGUUAAUCCAAAGGAAGAGACGCAGCCAAGCUUGGAGCAUCCUCUCUGCUCCUUCCCAAGGUAUUAAAGUAGCACUGGACUCAACUAAGAGGAGCGAUCAAACUGUCUACUAAUGAAGUUACUGACAGGAACUCCAGGAACUGGAAACUGGACUUUGGAAUCAUGAAGAGCACUGAGACGGCAUGAGAAAAAAUCUGGAUGAAGACAUGGACUGGAGACACGUCAACCAUGCUAGAAGAAAUUGAAAGAAUAUGAUCCUGUUUGACUCUUAAAAAUCUUUCUAGGCUAAUUACCAGCUCACAAAGCAGAGAAAUUAAGGCAGAGAGGGCACGUUCAUGAUGACAACCUUUACCCAUUAGCAAGCUUUGCAUUUUCCCAAGGCUGAAGACAGUUUAGCCCUGACAAAUCCAAUCAGUGAUAUGCAGGCGUAACCUCCAGAAAUAAGCUCACAUCUUUAGGAUCCACAGGGCAAAAGAUGGACUGCAGUAGGUCACUAUUAAAAUACUUAAAAUACAGCCUGGCCAGUGCUGAAAUGGCACAGUUGGCCUGAAGUUGCUUCAAGGUCUCCUGGCAUCUGCAUGUUUCCCCAGUGUCUGUGUGCAGUACAGUGUUAACUUCUCCUGAGUGGUUACGUACUUAAGGCAGUAACUUUAAAAUAAGGAAUUGCAACCUCCCAGCAAAGCUGCUAUUUUGAGAAUUUUAAACCAUUAUUGACUCCUGUCAGAUCAGUUUCUAGACUUAUUGACUCAAGAAGUAAAUAUAGACUGAGAGAAAGCGAGGUCAAGUCAAUAUUUAUCUUGCAGAUCAAUACAUUUUGAUACUAACCAAAAAUUAAGCUCAAUAAAUGCAUAUAUUAUAUACAGCAAGGUUAGGAGAGAUCCAUUCAGAAAAUUUGUCAAUUUGAGAUUUCCCAACGGAAUCCAACCUUUUGGAUUCAAUUUCCAUUAGAAAUUCUCUCCUUUUAAGGCUGCUGAAGUGACUGAUCACGAGCCCCCACCACCCAAUCAGGUUUCCAGAUGAUAGUUGAGUAGCAGCGAAAGGAAGAAGGAAGAAAGAUGAAGUGAGAAAAAAGUUGGUCACAGGAGCUCGAUUACGGUGAUGGGAGGAGGCAGGAGAACGGAAGAGCUGGCAAGCUGAGACACUACCAGUACUUUGUGGAAACCGACAUAUGAAUUUGUUCUACAAAUGUGCCAGGGACACACUGAUCCAACAGUUAGAUCACUUCCAGAAGACACGGAGUUAGAUUUCUGAGUUCACUUCCAAUUGCUGACUACUACUAUCCAAUAGAAGAAAAAUUCUGCAUAAAGUAAACAAGGUAAUUAAUUAUAGCGCCCAGCGAUAUCCCAACAAGAGCUAAACUUUAAGCAUGCAAAAAAUAGAUGACAAAACAAAUGGUAAACUACUCUAAUUCUUAAAACAAAGAAUGUUCUCAUUGGUUUUGGGGACUUGAGGUUGCAGAUGGGCUUUGGAUUUGUUUGCAUGAUGGAGGUGAAGCAGAAAUAACUGAGAUUAGAUUUGGUGAUAGGAAAGUGGAGGAGGAGAUUCUGCUGGAAGGACAGAGGGGACAGCAAGCAUUUAAGUGAAUACAUUAACUUCAUUUGGGAAUAUGUAAGACAGAAAACCUCUUGAACACCAUGGGGGAUGACCUGUGCAGAAUUAUUGCACAAAAAGACCUUUUAACCUUUUUCACGUGUUUUUAAAAUGGCGUAAGGCUCACAUAUAAUGAAAUAUCAUUUCGGCAGUCCUAUGAAAGACCGGUAACUUUAAGAUCUGAUGUCUUAACUGUGUUUUUGUUCUUGAAUAUAACUUGCUGAUAGCGGGCCACUUUAUUUGAAAAAGAGGUCCAAAGGUAAAACACCUCUAUGAAGGAAAUAAAUAUAUCCGUGACGAGGAAAUAUAGUGGCAACAGCAGUGUGUUAUCAUUUAUUCUUUGUUUUUAGUAGAUCAGAGGAAGACUGACUGUCACUGCAGAGGGAAAAGGGCAUGAGAAUGAGUAUUGCAAGAAGAAAAAGUCUCAUUAAAACAUUCCUCCUUCUCUGGGAUGAAUACAGGGGAGUAAAAGUGUUCCUACAAGAACUGUAUUAUGUAGUGAUUUUAAAUAUGGUGUGAGAAUGAAGGACAUAUGAGCUGCAAUGAGAGAACCAAAGAGGAAUUAUGUGAUGUGUUCAGGCUGGGGGCUUGCUUCACAUGACAGCAGGAAGAGAGGAAAGGUGCAGGGAAAAAAAAUCGGAAUCUGCUCUAUUCUGAGCCUUUAAUGUCAGCCAUGUUGGUGUUUUGCAGCUACUUACAUUUGCUGAUGGUUCCCGGGCACUCCUGACAUUCAACUUUGCAUCGUCCCCUAAAAAUUGGAAAGAAAUCUCUUUGUGAAUGACCUGUAGCUUUGACAUCACCAUAACUAAACAAUUCAUUUCCUUUUCCUUAAGUAAUGGUGCAGACACUUGAGGAGCAGAAUGCUGUGAGCUUUUAUUUCCAGUCUGAGGACAGUUCUGUGAUAGGUGGGAUAAUGCCAGAACCUACUUUUCAUUAGACUGUGUGAUUUGACUAUAUAUUUCAUGGUCUGAAUGGUUUGAGUGAAUAAGUCAUGCCAGAAUUUAUGGGGUUUUCAUCACUACAAAUGAAUCUUCAUCAUUACUAUGUGGAUGUAAGUAUUCUUGGGCUGCAGAAGACCCACCAUGCCAGUACAAACUGAUGCCAACUUGUUGCCUACUAUUCCCUUAACAAUGACUCUGGGCCACUAAAACUCCAGGAUCCCAUAGGGACCUUCCUGGCCAUCCCAUUUUGAGUUUGCAGGACAGGAUCCUGGUCUUGUGUGAAAACCACUGACUAAAAAUUCUCCUUUCUCUUUUCUUUUACCUUAAGAAGAGGAAUGACCAAAGCCCACCUCCUUCUUUUUGGACCAGGCUGCCUUUCUAAGUGCAACAAAAAGCAACAGAAGUGGCAGAGAGAAUGAAUACAUAUUCCUUCCCUUCACGUAAAUCUUUUUUGGGGGGUUUUUCCUUGCCUUCCCCUCCCCAUUUAUUUUAACAGUGGAAAAGCUCUGGGAUUUAAUGCCCAACUUCCCAGGAUGACAGCAAGACCCUCAUGACCCAGCAGUGAGUCCCAGUUCCCACCUGGGUGCCUCUGGAGAGUGACAAAUCUCUUGGAUGUGCUCUCACAUCCCAGAAUCACAGGCCAGGAACAUCUGUCUGUUUCUUCCCUUCCUUCAGACUGCCCCGAGGAGGAGGGAGGCAGGCAAGUAAGGAUAUGAAAGGCAAAGGCUCAACUGGCCGUGUUACAUUAGCCAACUCAAAUAAUUCUUAUUGGCUGUGGAAACAGCCUUCCCAUCCAAAGCUGUCUUUAUUUUUUUCUUCCCUUUUUUCUCCCCUCCCCCCCCAAAAAAAAAAACCCAAAACCACCCAAGAACAGCUUAUUUGGGGCAGGUUCCUUGGCCGUGGGCCAGCUCUCCCUAUUGCCUCUCUGUGCUACUUCCCAAUGCCCCCCAAGUGACCUUACUGAAAGCCUCAGGGACCAAACUUUACCGAACAGCAAAAUCAAAGUAUGCAAAUGAAGCUCAGAUUAUUACAUAUAUAAUGAUAAUUUUUUUCCUAUGCUAUUGCCUGUGCCCAGCUUCCUUCCCUAUGACUCUGAGUGCUUCAGAGCUGUAUAUAGCUGUUGAGCUGAAGCACCCAAGGAUGGCUCUGAAGCAGGAAGAGAGUUCAAUCUGCAGGCUGGUUUUCCAGGCACUUUCUUUCUCAUUCUCCACAAGAUAAGAUGAUAUUCCUCCGGAUCUUGCUGUUAUUAUUUGGGUGUCUCUACUUCACAGCCAAGGGCAGAUGAAUGCCUUGCGCAGCCUCUUCAGUCCACUCUAGUUCUAUUUUAGGCUGAGAAGACUGUGCUGCUUGGAUAGAUGGGUGCAUUUCAUGCCAAAAGCUCAGUUUUUCUGCAAAGUUAGGCAUCUCAGUUUGAAGAAAUAAGUACAAGGUAAAGCUGUUUGAAGGAGUGCAUGAAGCUGAGUUGCUAUCAGAUGUAUAUGGCAUUAAGUACGCAUCCUGACUAGGCACUCUCCUGCAAAGAAGGAGAGAUGAUGUUUACUUGGGCAUGUUAAUGAAUGAGAGGAUGCAUAUUGUGACACUAAAUCCUAUCCACAGUACCAGUUCAACAGGCAUUUAAACACUGAAGUCUGAACUCUGCAUAACCAAUGGGAUCUCGAUGAAGGAUGUGCAAGAACACUUGUCUGAAGACACCUACUCUUUAUUUUUACUACAAAAUCAAUUAGCAUUUCAAAGCAGCCAUCUGACAUGUACAACGUCAGGAGCCAGAUGUUGGCAUUGUGAUAUUAAUUUAAAAGGAGAAUUUUUUAUUAUUAUUUUUUUAAAUGUUGACUUCACAAGGAUUAAGUUGAAUAUUCUCAAUGUAGUAGAAAAAAGAAUUGACAUUCCCCAAAGACAAACAUUCUUGUUUUCUAUUUGGUUCUAUAGCUCAGUGAUUUCUCUCUGGAGGAAGCACAAAACAGAAAGAACUUCUGGUCUCAGGUAAAGUUUUGCUUCAGCUGAUCUUUCUAAAAACAUGCAUCUUUUUGGCUGUUUCCAUUUUGAAUCACAGAAUGGCCUGGGUUGUAAAGGCCCACAGUGCUCACCCAGCUCCAACCUCCUGCUGUGUGCAGGGU